UGUUUUAGGCUGUGCGGUCCAAGGACUGAGUUUAUUGAUCAAAUUAAGAAUUCUUUUUGUGACAUUUGAAUGCCAAGUGGAAGUCACUAGUAAUGUCCACAUCAUCAAGCAUCUUCUUCUUCUUCUGAUCAAGACAUUACAUCUUUAUUUAUCUCAGAAUAAUGAUGAUAAUGUGAAGAACACCUUUUGUUGAAAGAGAUUGUUUGUCUAAUUGUCUAUACCAAGCCAAUCACAUCUAUAAAUUCCUUGCAUUUUAGCACAUCUAGUGGGUGAAAACGAGAUAGGAUUUAGAUUAAUUUGGCUCCAGUUGAUGGUUAGCUCACUACCAAAAAACAGGGUUUUUACGACGGCUCUAAAAUUCAAUUUGCGACGGCCUAAGGCAGUCAUGAUGUUUGUGACAGGUUAAAGCUGUCGCAAAACUUAAAAACCAUCGCAAUUUCUCGGUUUCUAGAAUUUUCUUUUACGAAAGAAAUACCGACGGCUAUUUAACAGUCGCUGUAGCGACGAGCUUUGCCUGUCGCCCAAAGAUUUCGUCGCUCAUAAGUUAAAAUUUUUAAGUUAGCCGUCGAAACAAAUCACUAAAAACUGGGCGUCAAUAUUUUAACUUUCCCUCUAAUAUUUUUAUAGAUUUUUAUUUAGCGAACUCCCUCAGAAGUCGGACCAUUGUCUAGUGUUUUCUGCCUCUCUCUCUAUCCCACUUUGGGCUCUGGUAUGUAAAUUCAAUUUCCCACAAAUCGUUCUUUACAGAUCUAUCUUCUUAAGUUCUUUUACUCAUUUUGUUAGGGUUUUUCAGACAAUUAAUAAACUGAAGAAAAAUCGACUUCUCAGAGGUACUCUCUCUGUCUCUUUAACCCAACUCAUUAUUUUCAUGAUUAAUUGAAAAAGCGAGUCAAUUUCAUUGUUGACAUAGGGUAUUGCUUUGUACUAGUUUCUUAAAAAUCUUAUCUUCUUGAUGUUAUGUUGUUUGAUAAAUCCAAAUUAGGCACUAAAUUUUUAUUAUUUUGCUUAAAUUAGGUGUAGACUUCAUGUCCAAGUUUAAUUAGGCUCAGUUGUCUUUGUCAUCCAUGGACUUUAUAUUUGUUAGGAUCUUAAUUGUGUAUUGUUUUAUUUUUUUUAAUUGUAAUUGUAAUUGUUGACAUUUGAGAGGUAGUAUUGCUCUAAAGGUUUGAAUUUUGAAUUUUUUUUAAGCUUAGGAAAAAGCUCUGUCCUGCUUAUCUUUCUUUUUUUCCCAUACCAAGUAAAUAGACGUGUCUUCACCUUUGCUAUGAGUUUGUCCACAUAUCAUUUUGUUGCUACAAGAACUCUCAUUUCUCGAUGGCAUGACUCCAAGCUCUCUGCGAUAUAAAGAACCAGAUGGAGAUGCCUUCCAUCAGUUGGUAAUAGGUUGUUUCCUAGACACUUUAAGUUGGCUAUGGUAUGGACUUUAAAAAUAAGGUAUAAUAAUGUAAGUAAUGUUCUCUUAAUUUGAAGUUUUUUCCAUAUAUAUGCUUCUAGUUACAGUGUAGUUUGUAUUUGGGUGAUGGAUUGAGAGUUCCACACUGCAGAUUAACAAAGAGCUGAAGCUGCUUUCUUGGUGAUGAUUUUUGGAGUGCAAAUGCACAUCAGAUGUUCCCAUUGAUCAGGCAUGCAUACAAUCUGAUUUGUUAAUUUUUUUCUUAAAGCUAAAUGGAUUUGCAUCUUUCUAGAAACUUUAUAUAAUAUUGCUACUAGCUUUAGAUUUCGAAGUUAUUUUCUAGAAGCUCAUGUCUUAGUUUCGAUAAUUCAUUUAAAUGUGAAGAUGCUGACCAAUAUAGUUACAUUAUCUUUGUUCACAUGUUUUCUUCCAUGAUAAAUGGCUUGAUGGUUUUGUUCUUUGUAGGUUAUCUUUUACAUCUUCCUCACCAUACAUCUUCUAGAAUUUGCAACCUGCUUAUCCAGUUUUACAUGUCACUUAUAUGUUUUUGGUGGUUUUUGGAAAUAUAUUUCUAUAAUAACUGUAUUGUGUCCACAACCACCUUGGUGACCAUGAAAAUGUAGUCAAGUUAUUCGUAAUCAAUUCUGCUUCCUAGUAGGCUACUGAUUUUUUUAUAUGCUAUAUUGUAUUAAGAGGUAAAGUUCAUUUAUUUGUAAGCAAGGAGUACAUUACCUCUAUUCAUUCAGAAGCUCCCCUAUCUAAAAUGAGAUAAUUGCAUCACAAAGUUCUUUCCAUUCUUUUGAAUCUCAAUGCCUUGUGGCUUUUGAUGUUUUCUUUUGAUAAAAAUAAAAAAGAUACCUAAGACUAUAUAUUUUCUUUUUAAAUUGCAGAGUUGGUGAUUUAGCUAACUGAUCAUGGUUUCACAGAAACUUAUAUCUUAUACUUUUCUAUUUGGAUGGCUUACCACACCUCGCUUUAAACAGGUCAGGUGGACUAUCGUUUAUGUACUGUUUUAUAGAAUUUGUAUGGUUUCUGAGUUUUACUUUUAGACUAUAGUAAUGCAUGCCAAUAUAUCAUGCCAAUAUACUGUAUGGUUUCUGAGUUUUAAUUUGUAUGGUAAAAUUUUUAAUGCAUGCCAAUAUAUCAAAUGUUGAGGUUGUUAACUCUGUGAAAUAUAUUAAGUAAAUCAUUGAGCUUGAAUUAUGUAUCAUGUGUUUGAUCAUGAUAGUAGUUUUUUAGAGUGUUUGAUCUUUCCAGUGCUCUUGGUCACCAAUUUACUUAUGUUUUGUUUGUAUGAUAACUACAUAGGUUUGUUAGUGAUGCUCACUCAAAAGGUGCAAAUAUCAUUCUCAUUCAGGUACACGUUUAGAAAGCUUGCUCUCUAUUCUUUACUGUUAUACUUGAAUUGCAUUGAGCUUCUUUAAUGGUUCUUUGUGUAGGAACUGUUUUUUCAUAUGUCAGACGUUGGUAUAUAUCUGUUUUUGUAAUAUAGUAACUCCUGGGGUGCUUGCAGUUUUGCGUGCUGUCCAUUUUUUAUUGUCAAUAGUUAAGUCGAUGACUAGAGACUGCAUCUUAUAUAUUGAUUUUUACUUUUAAACGUGUUGCAACUAAUUAUUGUAGGCGUCAGGACAUGCUCAUGGGGCUGAAGGCUCUGAAAUAUGUAGUUUUGAGGCUGCAGAGUUGAGUUUACUCUUACAAGGAACCUUAGGUAUUAAUGUGUCAUGCUUAGAUGUGAAGUAAUGAGAAUUUGAGAUGCAAGGAACAUACUUUACAAGGAAAACCUACAACAUCCAUAUGGGUAAUUAAGGUAAAUGGCACCUGUACUUUUAGUUAAUCUUUCUAACUCCUAUAAAAGUGGUUACUGUAAAACUUUAUACAGGAACUUCAAAGGGGUUGCUGCAAAUAUUUGGCGUGAUUUGUUUGCUUUUGAAGCUGAAGGGUUUUUAUGUUAAGUUCUUGAUCUCAAUCUUUAGUUCUUCAGUAGACGUGGAGUUUUGGUUGUUGUAGAUGAUUUAAAUGUAAUUUGCUUUAUAUAAUUGACAUUCAUAUUAAUUACUGACUAAAUUGUAAUUUUAUUAUUUUUGGGUAAUAAAUGUAAUUUUACUUAUAUAGUUGACAUUUAUGUUGAUGGUCAUUAUCAUUUCGAAAAUAGUACAAUCUACAGGUUUGUAUACA
RNAcentral lists this long non-coding RNA (3568 nucleotides) under Aquilegia coerulea. RNAcentral's name for it is "long non-coding RNA (ACOE_LNC000637)". The record is from RNAcentral. Lineage: Eukaryota; Viridiplantae; Streptophyta; Magnoliopsida; Ranunculales; Ranunculaceae.